GACGAACGCUGGCGGCGUGCUUAACACAUGCAAGUCGAACGGAAAGGCCCUGCUUUUGUGGGGUGCUCGAGUGGCGAACGGGUGAGUAACACGUGAGUAACCUGCCCUUGACUUUGGGAUAACUUCAGGAAACUGGGGCUAAUACCGGAUAGGAGCUCCUGCUGCAUGGUGGGGGUUGGAAAGUUUCGGCGGUUGGGGAUGGACUCGCGGCUUAUCAGCUUGUUGGUGGGGUAGUGGCUUACCAAGGCUUUGACGGGUAGCCGGCCUGAGAGGGUGAUCGGCCACAUUGGGACUGAGAUACGGCCCAGACUCCUACGGGAGGCAGCAGUGGGGAAUAUUGCACAAUGGGCGGAAGCCUGAUGCAGCAACGCCGCGUGCGGGAUGACGGCCUUCGGGUUGUAAACCGCUUUCGCCUGUGACGAAGCGUGAGUGACGGUAAUGGGUAAAGAAGCACCGGCUAACUACGCG
Molecule: ribosomal RNA, 468 nt
Filed under: uncultured bacterium
Lineage: Bacteria
Description: partial 16S ribosomal RNA
Rfam family: Bacterial small subunit ribosomal RNA
Source: RNAcentral